UCCUGCCUUACUGUUGCCACAAGUCUGCCCACGUUAGGUGUCUCGUGCGACUGUGCUCAGACAUCUUCACCUCUGUGACAGCUGUCUUCACCUGGCCCUGUGUGCUCGAGGCUUGUCCAUACGGAGCAUGGGUCAGAUUCCCCGGCUCUCCCUGAGGCUGAGUGAUAGCCCACUGUGUGGAACCGCAGGUGUUUCUCCCACGGAAGGAGUGUUCAGCUGAGGGCUUGUCUAAUUCCACUAACAGGGGUGCUAGUCCUGCCUUCCUCUACACAGCUUUUGAGCCCCACGCCAUUGGACUGAGAAUUGACAAAUUGUGACCCGAUCUAUGAGACUUCAUGGCUACCUCUGUGGAAUUCCAUCUUGAUGUCUGCAGUCUAUGCUCUGGCCUGAUAAAGGGAUUUGCAUUCCGAUUCUGCUCCUUAGGCAGGGCAAAGCAUGCUAAGGAUGGGCAAGGAAUGGCAUAGUGGAGAGUAGGGGGUACUGUUGUGAACUUACCCCAUCCAUGAGGCCACUUUUAAGGGUCCCUGUAGCAUGUAUUCUUUCCCACCAGCUGCCUGGUCCUGCCGCUGUUUCUGCCCCCAAAUCACA
This is a long non-coding RNA of Mesocricetus auratus (golden hamster), 588 nucleotides long. RefSeq lists it as uncharacterized. The record is from RefSeq and is a predicted model, not a curated record. The transcript has 3 exons. Lineage: Eukaryota; Metazoa; Chordata; Mammalia; Rodentia; Cricetidae.